RNAcentral lists this ribosomal RNA (1500 nucleotides) under Lactiplantibacillus pentosus. Its description in RNAcentral is "bacterial SSU rRNA". It matches the Rfam family "Bacterial small subunit ribosomal RNA". Lineage: Bacteria; Bacillati; Bacillota; Bacilli; Lactobacillales; Lactobacillaceae. The record is from RNAcentral.
GACGACGCUGGCGGCGUGCCUAAUACAUGCAAGUCGAACGAACUCUGGUAUUGAUUGGUGCUUGCAUCAUGAUUUACAUUUGAGUGAGUGGCGAACUGGUGAGUAACACGUGGGAAACCUGCCCAGAAGCGGGGGAUAACACCUGGAAACAGAUGCUAAUACCGCAUAACAACUUGGACCGCAUGGUCCGAGUUUGAAAGAUGGCUUCGGCUAUCACUUUUGGAUGGUCCCGCGGCGUAUUAGCUAGAUGGUGGGGUAACGGCUCACCAUGGCAAUGAUACGUAGCCGACCUGAGAGGGUAAUCGGCCACAUUGGGACUGAGACACGGCCCAAACUCCUACGGGAGGCAGCAGUAGGGAAUCUUCCACAAUGGACGAAAGUCUGAUGGAGCAACGCCGCGUGAGUGAAGAAGGGUUUCGGCUCGUAAAACUCUGUUGUUAAAGAAGAACAUAUCUGAGAGUAACUGUUCAGGUAUUGACGGUAUUUAACCAGAAAGCCACGGCUAACUACGUGCCAGCAGCCGCGGUAAUACGUAGGUGGCAAGCGUUGUCCGGAUUUAUUGGGCGUAAAGCGAGCGCAGGCGGUUUUUUAAGUCUGAUGUGAAAGCCUUCGGCUCAACCGAAGAAGUGCAUCGGAAACUGGGAAACUUGAGUGCAGAAGAGGACAGUGGAACUCCAUGUGUAGCGGUGAAAUGCGUAGAUAUAUGGAAGAACACCAGUGGCGAAGGCGGCUGUCUGGUCUGUAACUGACGCUGAGGCUCGAAAGUAUGGGUAGCAAACAGGAUUAGAUACCCUGGUAGUCCAUACCGUAAACGAUGAAUGCUAAGUGUUGGAGGGUUUCCGCCCUUCAGUGCUGCAGCUAACGCAUUAAGCAUUCCGCCUGGGGAGUACGGCCGCAAGGCUGAAACUCAAAGGAAUUGACGGGGGCCCGCACAAGCGGUGGAGCAUGUGGUUUAAAUUCGAAGCUACGCGAAGAACCUUACCAGGUCUUGACAUACUAUGCAAAUCUAAGAGAUUAGACGUUUCCCUUCGGGGACAUGGAUACAGGUGGUGCAUGGUUGUCGUCAGCUCGUGUCGUGAGAUGUUGGGUUAAGUCCCGCAACGAGCGCAACCCUUAUUAUCAGUUGCCAGCAUUAAGUUGGGCACUCUGGUGAGACUGCCGGUGACAAACCGGAGGAAGGUGGGGAUGACGUCAAAUCAUCAUGCCCCUUAUGACCUGGGCUACACACGUGCUACAAUGGAUGGUACAACGAGUUGCGAACUCGCGAGAGUAAGCUAAUCUCUUAAAGCCAUUCUCAGUUCGGAUUGUAGGCUGCAACUCGCCUACAUGAAGUCGGAAUCGCUAGUAAUCGCGGAUCAGCAUGCCGCGGUGAAUACGUUCCCGGGCCUUGUACACACCGCCCGUCACACCAUGAGAGUUUGUAACACCCAAAGUCGGUGGGGUAACCUUUUAGGAACCAGCCGCCUAAGGUGGGACAGAUGAUUAGGGGAAGUCGAACAU